UACGUAGGGCGCAAGCGUUGUCCGGAAUUAUUGGGCGUAAAGAGCUCGUAGGCGGCUUGUCACGUCGGGUGUGAAAGCCCGGGGCUUAACCCCGGGUCUGCAUUCGAUACGGGCUAGCUAGAGUGUGGUAGGGGAGAUCGGAAUUCCUGGUGUAGCGGUGAAAUGCGCAGAUAUCAGGAGGAACACCGGUGGCGAAGGCGGUGGUCUGGGCCGGCACUGACGCUGAGGAGCGAAAGCGUGGGUAGCAAACAGG
This 253-nucleotide ribosomal RNA is filed under the name uncultured bacterium. Its description in RNAcentral is "partial 16S ribosomal RNA". It matches the Rfam family "Bacterial small subunit ribosomal RNA", at positions 524 to 776 of the family's 1533-position model. The record is from RNAcentral.